UUUUUAGAAUAAACAUGUUCCAUGAAAUAUUUGGGACAUACUUAUACUAAAA
RNAcentral lists this microRNA precursor (52 nucleotides) under Equus asinus (donkey). RNAcentral describes it as "mir-1302 microRNA precursor family". It matches the Rfam family "mir-1302 microRNA precursor family". Lineage: Eukaryota; Metazoa; Chordata; Mammalia; Perissodactyla; Equidae. RNAcentral also lists the same sequence under 1 other name. The record is from Rfam by way of RNAcentral.